UAUCUCUGUAGAGUCUGCAUAUCAAUAAGCGGAGGAAAAGAAACUAACUAGGAUUCCCUCAGUAACGGCGAGUGAAGCGGGAAGAGCUCAAAUUUGAAAUCUUCAAGGUUCUACCUUGACGAAUUGUAGUUUAAAGAAGUGUUUUCUGUUGGAGUUUUGGUAAAAGUUCUUUGGAAUAGGACAUCAUAGAGGGUGAGAAUCCCGUAUUUGACCAUUAUUUCCAGCUUUGUGAUACACUUUCAAAGAGUCGGAUUGUUUGGGAAUGCAGUCCAAAAUGGGUGGUAAAUUUCAUCUAAAGCUAAAUAUUGGCGAGAGACCGAUAGCGAACAAGUACCGUGAGGGAAAGAUGAAAAGAACUUUGAAAAGAGAGUUAAACAGUACGUGAAAUUGUCAAAAGGGAAGCGUUUGACACCAGUGUUGUUUUCUCGAAAAUCAAUUAGAAAAGGCAGGAUUUUGUGUUGUAUUGACUUUAUCAGCUUUCUGCACUCUUUUCUUGUCUUUUUUAAUGCACUUUUCGUUUAACAAGUCAACAUCAAUUUCUUUUGUUGUAAAAGAGGUCAUUGGAAGGUGGCUUUCUUUUCGGAGAAAGUGUUUAUAGCCUUUGGCCUUCUGCAAUCGGAGAGAUUGAGGUCUAGCAGCGUAGAUCCUUCGGGGUUAGAUACAUUUGUGCUAAGUUAUAGCCUUUCAUAGACAACUUGUUGACUAUGAUCAGUCAUGUAGCUUACUCGCUUAUGCUAUUUUACCUACGCUUAGGAUGUUGAGUCAUCACACAUCUCU
This 777-nucleotide ribosomal RNA is filed under the name uncultured Neocallimastigales. Its description in RNAcentral is "partial large subunit ribosomal RNA". It matches the Rfam family "Eukaryotic large subunit ribosomal RNA", at positions 24 to 614 of the family's 3401-position model. Lineage: Eukaryota; Fungi; Neocallimastigomycota; Neocallimastigomycetes; Neocallimastigales. The record is from RNAcentral.